GAUGAACGCUGGCGGCGUGCCUAACACAUGCAAGUCGAGCGAACCCUUCGGGGUGAGCGGCGGACGGUGAGUAACGCGUGGGUAACCUGCCCUAUACACACGGAUAACGUACCGAAAGGUACGCUAAUACGAGAUAAUAUAUUUCAUCGCAUGUUGAAAAUAUCAAAGCUCCAGCGGUAUAGGAUGGACCCGCGUCUGAUUAGCUAGUUGGUAAGGUAAUGGCUUACCAAGGCGACGAUCAGUAGCCGACCUGAGAGGGUGAUCGGCCACAUUGGAACUGAGACACGGUCCAAACUCCUACGGGAGGCAGCAGUGGGGAAUAUUGCACAAUGGGCGAAAGCCUGAUGCAGCAACGCCGCGUGAGCGAUGAAGGCCUUCGGGUCGUAAAGCUCUGUCCUCAAGGAAGAUAAUGACGGUACUUGAGGAGGAAGCCCCGGCUAACUACGUG
This 448-nucleotide ribosomal RNA is filed under the name uncultured bacterium. RNAcentral's name for it is "bacterial SSU rRNA". It matches the Rfam family "Bacterial small subunit ribosomal RNA", at positions 28 to 507 of the family's 1533-position model. The record is from RNAcentral.